AACAGAGGAUGCAAGCGUUAUCCGGAAUUAUUGGGCGUAAAGUGUCUGUAGGUGGCUUUUCAAGUCGGUCGUCAAAUCCCAGGGCUCAACCCUGGACAGGCGGUGGAAACUGCCGAACUAGAGUACAGUAGGGGAAAAGGGAAUUUCCGGUGGAGCGGUGAAAUGCGUUGAGAUCGGGAAGAACACCAACAGGCGAAAGCACUCUGCUGGGCCGUCACUGACACUCAGAGACGAAAGCUAGGGGAGCGAAUGGG
This 254-nucleotide ribosomal RNA is filed under the name uncultured bacterium. Its description in RNAcentral is "partial 16S ribosomal RNA". It matches the Rfam family "Bacterial small subunit ribosomal RNA", at positions 524 to 776 of the family's 1533-position model. The record is from RNAcentral.